AUUGAACGCUGGCGGCAGGCCUAACACAUGCAAGUCGAACGGUAACAGGAAGCAGCUUGCUGCUUUGCUGACGAGUGGCGGACGGGUGAGUAAUGUCUGGGAAACUGCCCGAUGGAGGGGGAUAACUACUGGAAACGGUAGCUAAUACCGCAUAACGUCGCAAGACCAAAGAGGGGGACCUUAGGGCCUCUUGCCAUCGGAUGUGCCCAGAUGGGAUUAGCUAGUAGGUGGGGUAACGGCUCACCUAGGCGACGAUCCCUAGCUGGUCUGAGAGGAUGACCAGCCACACUGGAACUGAGACACGGUCCAGACUCCUACGGGAGGCAGCAGUGGGGAAUACUGCACAAUGGGCGCAAGCCUGAUGCAGCCAUGCCGCGUGUAUGAAGAAGGCCUUCGGGUUGUAAAGUACUUUCAGCGGGGAGGAAGGGAGUAAAGUUAAUACCUUUGCUCAUUGACGUUACCCGCAGAAGAAGCACCGGCUAACUCCGUG
Molecule: ribosomal RNA, 490 nt
Filed under: uncultured bacterium
Lineage: Bacteria
Description: partial 16S ribosomal RNA
Rfam family: Bacterial small subunit ribosomal RNA
Source: RNAcentral